Molecule: ribosomal RNA, 2736 nt
Filed under: Ctenocephalides felis (cat flea)
Lineage: Eukaryota; Metazoa; Arthropoda; Insecta; Siphonaptera; Pulicidae
Description: eukaryotic LSU rRNA
Rfam family: Eukaryotic large subunit ribosomal RNA (bases 1-2370)
Source: RNAcentral
UGACCACGAGACCGAUAGCAAACAAGUACCGUAAGGGAAAGUUGAAAAGAACUUUGAAGAGAGAGUUCAAGAGUACGUGAAACCGUUCAGGGGUAAACCUGAGAAACCCGAAAGAUCGAAAGGAGAGAUUCAAUGUUAUCAUUGUCUUCCAUUUAGUGGCGUGCGAUUGACCGGGAUUCGUCCCGCGAUACGCCGUUGGUUUAUGUGUCAGGCGGCGUUGGCAUGCACUUCUUUCUCAGUAGGACGUCGCGACCCGUUUGGUGUCGAUCUACGACCGCGGCGGUAGCCUGUCACGAAUUUAUUCGCGCCAGACCCCGCGUGCUCCGGCCGACUGCCAGACGGUAUAAAUGAUAUGGUAUAGGGUCGCUUUUAAGCGUUCGGCCGGUUGCAAGCACGGACGGUUAUUGGCCGUCGGACCUAGUCCGGCAUCGAUGCCGCCUCGAGCUGUUAGCUACCGUGUUCUUGAACGGACUCUAUUACCGGUCAGCGAUGCUAUUGCUUUGGGUACUUUCAGGACCCGUCUUGAAACGCGGACCAAGGAGUCUAGCAUGUGCGCGAGUUAUUGGGAAAUACAAAACCUAAAGGCGCAAUGAACGUAAAGGUUUGCUUAAGUAAACUGAGGAAUGACAGACCGCAUCCACGGAUGCGUGCUUGCAAUCCCGAGGCGUCUCACUCUCAUUGCGAGAAGAGACGCACUCAGAGCGUACAUGCUAGGACCCGAAAGAUGGUGAACUAUGCCCGGUCAGGUCGAAGUCAGGGGAAAUCCUGAUGGAGGACCGUAGCGAUUCUGACGUGCAAAUCGAUCGUCGGAACUGGGUAUAGGGGCGAAAGACUAAUCAAACCAUCUAGUAGCUGGUUCCCUCCGAAGUUUCCCUCAGGAUAGCUGGCAUUCGAUGAGCGAGUCUCAUCCGGUAAAGCGAAUGAUUAGAGGCCUUGGGGCCGAAACGACCUCAACCUAUUCUCAAACUUGAAAUGGGUGAGAUCUCUGGCUUGCUUGAAUAGUGAAGCCAGAGGUUUGGAUCAGAGUGCCUAGUGGGCCAUUUUUGGUAAGCAGAACUGGCGCUGUGGAAUGAACCAAACGCCGAGUUUAGGCGCCUAAACGACGCUAAUGGGAUACCAUGAAAGGCGUUGGUUGCUUAAGACAGCAGGACGGUGGCCAUGGAAGUUGGAAUCCGCUAAGGAGUGUGUAACAACUCACCUGCCGAAGCAACUAGCCCUGAAAAUGGAUGGCGCUGAAGCGUCGUGCCUAUACUCGGCCGCCAAGGCAUGAGAAACGUUCAUAAUAGUUCGUUUUGACGCCCUGGUGAGUAGGAGGGUCGCGGUGGUGUGCGCAGAAGGGUUUGGGCGUCAGCCUGCCUGGAGCCGCCAUCGGUGCAGAUAUUGGUGGUAGUAGCAAAUACUCCAGCGAGGCCCUGGAGGACUGACGUGGAGAAGGGUUUCGUGUGAACAGCCGUUGCACACGAGUCAGUCGAUCCUAAGCCCCAGGAGAAAUCCUAUGUUGAUGUCGGUGUAUUUUAUUUUGAAUAAAAUUUCACACCCAUCGGGCGAAAGGUAAUCCGGUUCCUAUUCCGGAACCCGGCAGCGGAACCGUUUACAAGUCGGGCCCUCGCAAGAGAGUUCGUCGGGGUAACCCAAAAUGACCUGGAGACGCCGUCGGGAAAUACGGGAAGAGUUUUCUUUUCUGUAUGAGCGUUCGAGUUCCCUGGAAUCCUCUAGAAGGGAGAUAGGGUUUGGAACGCGAAGAGCACCGCUGUUGUGGCGGGUGUCCGUAUCUUCCCCUCGGACCUUGAAAAUCCAGGAGAGGGCCACGGUAGGUGUCGCGCCGGUUCGUACCCAUAUCCGCAGCAGGUCUCCAAGGUGAAGAGCCUCUAGUCGAUAGAUAAAUGUAGGUAAGGGAAGUCGGCAAAUUGAAUCCGUAACUUCGGGAUAAGGAUUGGCUCUGAGGAUCGGGGCGUGCCGGGCUUGGUUGGGAAGCGGGCGUAGGCCGAUGUGCCGGGCCUGGGCAAGGUGAAAUUGUCCUUGUGACUUAGAUCCGAGCUCGGUCCCGUGUCUAGGCCCCCCGCGGAUCUUUCUUGCUGCGAGGUUUCUGUGCCGGCUUCGGUCGGUCAGUCGUACUCUUCGGCCGCCACUCAACGGUCAGCUCAGAACUGGCACGGACUAGGGGAAUCCGACUGUCUAAUAAAAAACAAAGCAUUGCGAUGGCCCUAGCGGGUGUUGACGCAAUGUGAUUUCUGCCCAGUGCUCUGAAUGUCAACGUGAAGAAAUUCAAGCAAGCGCGGGUAAACGGCGGGAGUAACUAUGACUCUCUUAAGUGGUGGGAGUGGUUGGGGUUCUCCGGGACCUCAGCUAGCAAGUGGCCUUCCUCCUCGUGGGUCCCACCGUGAGUACCCCUUCGGAGGGAAACUAAGCCACCUCUGUAAAAUUUUGGGCUUAGGGGCUGCCAACCCUUUCGCCUGUAACUCAAUCGGUGCAACGUCAAAUAAUAAGCCUCGGAACAAUAAUGAAAAUUUAGAAUUAAAUUUGGGUGAACCCACUUUGUUUACCCCCACCGAUUAAUAUAGAAGGUCAUAAUUGUCGAUUCCCUACAUGUAACAAAACAUUUGCAACUGUAGUAGGUCGGGGAGUUCAUGAACAGAAAACACACAAAGAAUGGUAUAAUGAGGAACUUGCCAAAAUAGUGCCAAAGAAAGCAAGGUGGACGGAGGAGGAGCAGAAAAUGAUGGCCAAAGAGGAGGC